Long non-coding RNA from Centrocercus urophasianus (Greater sage-grouse), 2050 nucleotides. RefSeq lists it as uncharacterized. The record is from RefSeq and is a predicted model, not a curated record. The transcript is spliced from 5 exons. NCBI's taxonomy places the organism in Eukaryota, Metazoa, Chordata, Aves, Galliformes, Phasianidae.
UUUUCAUCUCUGAGGCUGCUAGCUCUUCUUGCCUCUGUUAGCUUUCCAGUUUCCUUGGAAAAUUUAUUCCUGUGAAGUCAUAAAGUGCUUGAAGAACUUGAUUCAUUGUCCUCUCACUCUGCAAAUUGUAUUGGCUGCAGUAGAACUGAGCAGUGGUGGAAGCUCUAAGUUGUGCACGUCCCAAGUGUUUGAAGCAGUCCUGCUCUCGCAGAUAAGUCUUUCUUUUCUUAUCAUCUCACAGAUCUGCUCUGUUUGUGUAUCUGCCUCUUACAGAACACGGCCUGUUUGUGUUCUGGGAACAGAAAAUGUAUUUGUGAAAUUCUUUCCUGUUUUAGAAAAAGAUGGCCUUUGGUCAAUUGUACUUUUUCUCUUCUGCAAGUUCCAGCUCAAAUCAGACCAGUCAUUUUUUAGCUCUCUUGUGCACUGACUGCCAUGCACAGUAUUUUCCCAAACUCAAUAUUCUCUCCUUUCUAUCUGCUUUUGAGCUUGAGAUCUCUCAAUUGGUAUUUCUGUAUGCGUUUCCUCAUCUGGAGUUUCCAUUUGCUGUUAAUUUAUGUCUAUUCAGAUCCACUGUCAGCAGUUUGGGUUUUUUUUGCCUUCACAUUUCUGCUUAGAAUUUUAAUGGAGUGUUUUCUCAAAGUAUUGUUUGUUUUUGCAGAGGGAGUUGUGUUGUUUUAUGCCAAGGCCUCCUUAAACAGGCUGAAAUGUGUCCUUGGGGUGACGAGAGGCGUUUGAGACGUUUCUAAGAUGAUGUACAUGACUCUCUCAGCACGACAAUCCAUUGAAGACAUUUGUUAUUUGCAGUCUUUGACUACCUCUUUCAUGUGCUGCCUGAAUCUGAUAAGCUCCACCAGUUGGGAGUAGUGACUCAGCUCAAGAAAUAAAACCAGCUAUUGCAAUCACAGGAUACAGCCUUUGUGUUGUGAGAAGUGCAGUUCUUGUGGCCUAGAGGAAUUCUGGCCGUCUCAGCUGUGCGAUGGAUCUGGAAAAGGAGAAAAUUCCUCCAGUUUUGUGCUUCUGUUGGCUUCUGUAAACUGUGGAUCAGUGCCUCCACUAAAUGGGAUAUGCCAGCAAGGUGGAUGGAAAUCCAUUUUCAGGAAGGAACAUGAAAGACACAUCUGGAAACUGUUGCAGGAGAAUCUCAUGCACGAUGCAGCUGAGGUGCUUCACAUCCCUGGUUUUCUCUGCUGGCCAUGUUCUUCAUGUGGGCUGUGCAACAGAUGCAGAUGAUAGAGAAGAUGGAGGAAUAACUUUAGGAUAUCCGUAUGGGUGUCCUGCAGCCAUUAAGCACAAGAAGAGAUGACUUUCAUCAAGAGAGGUAGCCACACUAGUCAAGGAGAUACUGUGUCACCCUGGUGAUUCAAGGGGAAAAAGAAUAAUCUUGACUUUCUAUAGAAGUUUAAAUGAAAACUUAAAGGUGCCAGCCAUUUCUACAGGGUGGAGAGGCUGCUCUUUAAUGAAGGAAUGACACAAAUCCUUUUGCUAACCACAGCACAAGAUUCUCUGUUUUGUUAUCUUCAUGGAAUAUUAAAGCAAUUUAAUACAUUGAAAUAAUAUUGCAAAGCUUACGGUUGUAAAGUUUUGAAUCUAAUUAUGCCCUACCUAUCUUUCUUCUACCAAAGUCUAAAGUUGCUCACAGCUCAACAGCUCUAGUUCCUAGCCACCAACUUCCUCCUACCAUCAACAGAGAUAAAAGCAUGUCAUCUCACAGCACUUUGUUCUAUUCUUAGAGGGUACCUAACGAGUGUCCUAUUUGACCAGACACCUUCAUUACCAAUGUUGGUUUCAGGUGAGGUGAAGCCAUUCUGUUCCAUGGCUGUCUUUUUACCUCAACUACAGCUAAUCAGAAGAGGAUCAAACAGAUCUCUUAAAAUGCCCACACAGAAAUUACUCAGUAAAGUGAAACAUUUUGUAACACUUUCUUGCCUUUUUCUCUCCUGAAGCAAUGAUUAUCAUCUCUUAAUUGAGUUGUCACAGAUUCCAAGGUGUGUUGGUAACAGCUUUACAGGUUGUCAUUUGUGCACUAAUCAUGUCUCAGUAACUUAAAAUG